ACGGGUGAGUAAUGCAUCGGGACCUACCCAGACGUGGGGGAUAACGUAGGGAAACUUACGCUAAUACCGCAUACGUCCUACGGGAGAAAGCGGGGGACCUUCGGGCCUCGCGCGGUUGGACGGACCGAUGUGCGAUUAGCUAGUUGGUAGGGUAAUGGCCUACCAAGGCGACGAUCGCUAGCUGGUCUGAGAGGAUGAUCAGCCACACUGGGACUGAGACACGGCCCAGACUCCUACGGGAGGCAGCAGUGGGGAAUAUUGGACAAUGGGCGCAAGCCUGAUCCAGCAAUGCCGCGUGUGUGAAGAAGGCCUUCGGGUUGUAAAGCACUUUUAUCAGGAACGAAAUACCACGGGUUAAUAACCUAUGGGGCUGACGGUACCUGAGGAAUAAGCACCGGCUAACUUCGUGCCAGCAGCCGCGGUAAUACGAAGGGUGCAAGCGUUAAUCGGAAUUACUGGGCGUAAAGGGUGCGUAGGCGGUUAUUUAAGUCUGCCGUGAAAUCCCCGGGCUCAACCUGGGAAUGGCGGUGGAUACUGGAUAGCUAGAGUGUGUCAGAGGAUGGUGGAAUUCCCGGUGUA
This 579-nucleotide ribosomal RNA is filed under the name Rhodanobacter sp. HRRP027. Its description in RNAcentral is "bacterial SSU rRNA". It matches the Rfam family "Bacterial small subunit ribosomal RNA", at positions 102 to 677 of the family's 1533-position model. Lineage: Bacteria; Pseudomonadati; Pseudomonadota; Gammaproteobacteria; Lysobacterales; Rhodanobacteraceae. The record is from RNAcentral.